Molecule: ribosomal RNA, 253 nt
Filed under: uncultured bacterium
Lineage: Bacteria
Description: partial 16S ribosomal RNA
Rfam family: Bacterial small subunit ribosomal RNA
Source: RNAcentral
UACGUAGGGACCGAGCGUUGUCCGGAUUCAUUGGGCGUAAAGAGCUCGUAGGCGGCUGUUCAAGUCGAACGUGAAAACUCGGAGCUCAACUCCGAGCCUGCGUUCGAUACUGGACGGCUAGAGUCUGGUAGGGGGAUCUGGAAUUCCUGGUGUAGCGGUGAAAUGCGCAGAUAUCAGGAAGAACACCCGUGGCGAAGGCGGCUCUCUGGGACGGUACUGACGCUGAGACGCGAAAGCGUGGGGAGCGAACAGG